Molecule: ribosomal RNA, 51 nt
Filed under: uncultured bacterium
Lineage: Bacteria
Description: partial 16S ribosomal RNA
Source: RNAcentral
GCGCACUACCACGAGGAGGANCGUCCCAAGGUAUAGUCCAUGAUUGGGGUG